This 461-nucleotide small RNA is filed under the name Pongo abelii (Sumatran orangutan). Its description in RNAcentral is "processed transcript". The record is from RNAcentral. Lineage: Eukaryota; Metazoa; Chordata; Mammalia; Primates; Hominidae.
CUUGAACCCGGAAGGUGGAGGUUGCAGUGAGCCGCGAUCGUGCCACUGCACUCCAACCUGGGCUAUAGAGUGAGACUCCGUCUCAAAAUAAAAGAAGAAAAAAAAACACACAAGAGUUUAAACCUGAAAUGACAUGAAGACUUAGGAGACUGGUGAGAGAGAAUCAAAGAAAGUUGUGUCACUGCACUGUGGAGUCUUGUGGUGAUUGAAGUCCGUUCAGCACAGGUGCUCAGGACCUGUGGACUUGGGCAGAGGGCAUUGUAAGCAGCUAGAGAACAAGAGAGGGCUGAGACAGCUUAUCUCUGCUUGACAAGGCCCAGCAUUAUGGCCUACAUCCUGCUGGGACAAUUCCUUCUGAUGCACAAGAAUGAAGCCGAGUUUCAGAGGUGGCUCAUUUGCUGUUUUGGUGCCACUGAGUGUGAGGCCCAGCAGAGUUCUCACUGCCUCAAGGAGUGGUGUGC